ACGAACGCUGGCGGCGUGCUUAACCCCUGCAAGUCGAACGGAAAGGCCCUGCUUUUGUGGGGUGCUCGAGUGGCGAACGGGUGAGUAACACGUGAGUAACCUGCCCUUGACUUUGGGAUAACUUCAGGAAACUGGGGCUAAUACCGGAUAGGAGCUCCUGCUGCAUGGUGGGGGUUGGAAAGUUUCGGCGGUGGGGGAUGGACUCGCGGCUUAUCAGCUUGUUGGUGGGGUAGUGGCUUACCAAGGCUUUGACGGGUAGCCGGCCUGAGAGGGUGACCGGGCACAUUGGGACUGAGAUACGGCCCAGACUCCUACGGGAGGCAGCAGUGGGGAAUAUUGCACAAUGGGCGGAAGCCUGAUGCAGCAACGCCGCGUGCGGGAUGACGGCCUUCGGGUUGUAAACCGCUUUCGCCUGUGACGAAGCGUGAGUGACGGUAAUGGGUAAAGAAGCACCGGCUAACUACGUG
RNAcentral lists this ribosomal RNA (467 nucleotides) under uncultured bacterium. RNAcentral describes it as "partial 16S ribosomal RNA". It matches the Rfam family "Bacterial small subunit ribosomal RNA", at positions 29 to 507 of the family's 1533-position model. The record is from RNAcentral.